CAGCAGCCGCGGUAAUACGUAGGUGACAAGCGUUGUCCGGAUUUACUGGGCGUAAAGGGCGCGCAGGCGGUCGAUCAAGUCGAGUGUGAAAGCCCCCGGCUCAACUGGGGAGGGUCAUUCGAUACUGAUCGACUCGGAGGCAGGAGAGGGUAGUGGAAUUCCCGGUGUAGUGGUGAAAUGCGUAGAUAUCGGGAGGAACACCAGUGGCGAAGGCGACUACCUGGCCUGUUCUUGACGCUGAGGCGCGAAAGCUAGGGGAGCAAACGGGAUUAGAUACCCCGGUAGUCCUAGCCGUACAACGAUGGACACUAGGUGUUGGUGGUAUCAACCCCGCCAGUGCCGAAGCUAACGCAUUAAGUGUCCCGCCUGGGGAGUACGGCCGCGAGGCUAAAACUCAAAUGAAUUGACGG
RNAcentral lists this ribosomal RNA (410 nucleotides) under uncultured soil bacterium. RNAcentral describes it as "bacterial SSU rRNA". It matches the Rfam family "Bacterial small subunit ribosomal RNA", at positions 509 to 916 of the family's 1533-position model. The record is from RNAcentral.